RNAcentral lists this ribosomal RNA (1213 nucleotides) under Antigona lamellaris. RNAcentral's name for it is "16S ribosomal RNA". The stretch from base 797 to 1213 matches the Rfam family "Bacterial large subunit ribosomal RNA", at positions 2048 to 2719 of the family's 2925-position model. Lineage: Eukaryota; Metazoa; Mollusca; Bivalvia; Venerida; Veneridae. The record is from RNAcentral.
UUAGGUGGUAGAUAUAUUGUGUAAAAAUCUGUUUUAGUUUGUAUAUUUAUAGAAAAUUUUUGUGGUUGUUGAAAAGAAAAAAUAAUUAGGCAUAAAAAUUUAUACGUUUGUUUUUUUUGUAUCAUAAUCUAUAGAGAGAAUAAAAAGAUUUUGUUUCCUGAAAACUUUAGAGCUACUGUUUUAACACAGCUUUUGUUUCAAAAUGGGGUUUAGAUUUUACAGUAGGAAUGACAUGUUUAUCGAAAAAGUUGAUAGCUGGUUUAAAGGGAAAUAUAUUUACGUAUAGGGGUUGAUAAAAAUAAGGAUUAUUUAUAUCUUUAUUUUUUUUACUACUCAGGUUUUAGGGGAUAAGCUCUAGAACAGGAAGAUGAGGUGAUUUGAAAGUAGGGCUAAUAUUGUUUAUCUUUUGAGAAUUUAUUAAUAAAGCAAUUUGAAAUUUAUAAUUUUUUAGUACCUUUAUAGGUAAUAAUAAUUUUUUAUAUCAAAAUUAGUAUAGAAUCAGUAGUUGGAAGAUAAAAAAAAUUAUAAAAAAUUUUAAGUGUUUGGGGUAAUAAAAACAAAUAUUUGGUUAGUAUAAAAUUUUAUUAUAAGAACUCGGCAAAAAUAUCCUGCGCCUGUUUAUUAAAAACAUGGCUUUCUGUUUCUCAGUAUAGGAAGUCCGGCCUGCCCGGUGAAAUUUAAACGGCUGCAACGAGAGUUGUGCUAAGGUAGCGUGAUAGGUUGUCUCUUAAUUGGAGAAUGGUAUGAAGGGUCUCACGUGGGGUUUCUUUUUUUAAUUAAUAAAAUGAAGUUUCUUUUUAAGUGAAAAAGCUUAAGUUUUUGUAAAAGACGAGAAGACCCUGUCGAGCUUGAUUAAAAUUAUUGAUUCUUAAAGUAUAUUUUGUUUUAAUAAUUUAAACUUUUAUUGGGGCAAUAUAGAUUUAAAUAACAGUCUAGUAUAAAAUUUAGAUCCUCUUUGAGAGAAAACAGCAAAAGCUACCGCAGGGAUAACAGCGUUAUCUUUCUUGAGAGAUCGAAUUGAGGGAAAGGUUUGCGACCUCGAUGUUGGAUUAGGGAAACUCUGUGGCGCAGAAGCUAUAGUAGUGAGACUGUUCGUCUUUUAAUUCCAUACAUGAUCUGAGUUAAGACCGGCGUGAGCUAGGUCGGUUUCUAUCUUUAAAUAUUAUCUUCAUUGUACGAAAGGAUCCGAAGGUAGGGUUUUACCUUUGUACUA